AAGACCGUACUUACUAGGAUCAUUUCUAUAGUACGCGUCCCGUCUUUGUUCCUCAACAAAGGCACACACUAAAGCCAUGAUGAUGAGCUGCAGUGUUCUUCCUUGAGCGUGAAGCCUUGGUGUUUGCUGGAUUUCGAUCAAGCGAACGUCUAUUGAUGAACGUUCCUGUUGCUCUAAGGAGUGACAUGGAGGGGAAGGACGCCAGCUGAGUGGC
This is a small nucleolar RNA of Hydractinia symbiolongicarpus, 214 nucleotides long. RefSeq annotates it as small nucleolar RNA U3. The transcript has a single exon. The record is from RefSeq and is a predicted model, not a curated record. NCBI's taxonomy places the organism in Eukaryota, Metazoa, Cnidaria, Hydrozoa, Anthoathecata, Hydractiniidae.